CCUAAAAGCAGCCNNNUUUUAAAAAGCGUCAAAGCUUAACUAUGUAAAUCUUAAAUUCUCAGAUCCCUACUGACCCCUUUAACUGUACUGAGAACUUCUAUAAACCUAUAGAACCUUUUCUGCUAAAACUAGUAACAAGAGGUCCCCCCCUCUCCUUAAUGCAAGCACAACCCAGCAAGAACCAAUCACUGGCAACUAGCAGACAAUAAAUGUAGCAACUUCGCUAGAAAACCCUACUUCCAUCUCUGUUAACCUAACACUAGAGCAUUUCAAGAAAGAUUAAAAGAAAGAGAAGGAAUUCAGCAAAUAUAGCCUCGCCUGUUUACCAAAAACAUCGCCUCUUGCCCCCACCAUAAGAGGUCCAGCCUGCCCAGUGACUCUGUUCAACGGCCGCGGUAUCCUAACCGUGCAAAGGUAGCGUAAUCACUUGUCUUCUAAAUAAAGACCAGUAUGAAAGGCAC
Molecule: ribosomal RNA, 461 nt
Filed under: Pristimantis petersioides (Sardinayacu's rain frog)
Lineage: Eukaryota; Metazoa; Chordata; Amphibia; Anura; Strabomantidae
Description: partial 16S ribosomal RNA
Rfam family: Bacterial large subunit ribosomal RNA (bases 316-461)
Source: RNAcentral